GAUGAACGAGAGCGGAAGGAAGAAAAGAGGGAACUAGAAGGAGGACCCUUCGGGCUUCGAACGGCGUACGGGUGCGUAACGCGUAUACAAUCUGCCUUUGACAGCGGGAUAGCCCGAAGAAAUUUGGAUUAAUACCUAAUGGUAUAUAGAUGUGGCAUCACCUUUAUAUUAAAGCUGAGGCGGUGAAAGAUGAGUCUGCGUUCUAUUAGCUAGUUGGAGAGGCCCCGGCUGCCCAAGGCGACGAUAGAUAGGGGGGCGGAGAGGGAUAUCCCCCACACUGGUACUGAGAUACGGACCAGACUCCUACGGGAGGCAGCAGUGAGGAAUGUGGGACAAUGGUCGGAAGACUGAUCCAGCCAUGCCGCGUGCAGGAAGACGGCCUUAUGGGUUUUCCUCUCGGUUGGCAGGGGAAGAAUAAGGUGUACGCGUAGUUUGAUGACGGUACUCUGCGCCGAAGACUCCUCUCCCUCCGUC
RNAcentral lists this ribosomal RNA (474 nucleotides) under uncultured bacterium. RNAcentral's name for it is "partial 16S ribosomal RNA". It matches the Rfam family "Bacterial small subunit ribosomal RNA", at positions 28 to 507 of the family's 1533-position model. The record is from RNAcentral.